Molecule: ribosomal RNA, 253 nt
Filed under: uncultured bacterium
Lineage: Bacteria
Description: partial 16S ribosomal RNA
Rfam family: Bacterial small subunit ribosomal RNA
Source: RNAcentral
UACGUAGGAUGCAAGCGUUGUCCGGAAUUAUUGGGCGUAAAGAGCUCGUAGGCGGCCUGUCGCGUCUGCUGUGAAAUCCCGGGGCUCAACCCCGGGCGUGCAGUGGAUACGGGCUGGCUGGAGGCAGGCAGGGGAGAACGGAAUUCCCGGUGUAGCGGUGAAAUGCGCAGAUAUCGGGAGGAACACCGGUGGCGAAGGCGGUUCUCUGGGCCUGUACUGACGCUGAGGAGCGAAAGCGUGGGGAGCGAACAGG